Long non-coding RNA from Patella vulgata (common limpet), 341 nucleotides. RefSeq lists it as uncharacterized. Lineage: Eukaryota; Metazoa; Mollusca; Gastropoda; Patellidae. The transcript has 4 exons. The record is from RefSeq and is a predicted model, not a curated record.
GAUGGCAGAAACGACCAAGAGAACGCACAUUUUAAGUUUGGAACAGACGAGUCCACUGUAGAAUCUUUGUAUUCUAAAGAUUUCCUUCUGGCUUCUCAAAAACCCAGAAGUCGACCCAAUUUUUAUAAAACACCGUCCUCUGGCAAGAUUAUACAGAAUGACCCGAUAUUUUCUAAAUUUGGUGAAUCACAGAACAGCACCGAUUUCUACAGAAAACCAGUUGAACAACGAAUUCAAGCUAAUGGUAAAACUGAAGCUGAUAAUAAUAUGGCUAGACGACAUGGUAGAAACGUUACUCUUACAUCAAAAGAUAAAAUUAACCCUAAUGAUAUGCUCGUCUC